GCGGAGGUUAGACCCGCCCCUUUGCUUGCUUGCUAUUCGCUAGAGUUGUAGCUACGGAACUCGAUCGUCAUCCGUAACCUUUGACGUUGGAGCCGCAGCAGCCAGCUGUUACAAAUCGCGUCACUUCUCGCCAGCUGAUCGGAGACGCCGGCCGAGUGAGAGACGCCCAGAAAAGGACCCAGAAUCGCUUUUCUCUUUAGCGAGGCGGUCGGGCGAGUACUCCGGACUGGCGAGGAUGGAUCCAGUGUGGGACUCUUGGCUAACCUACAUUAGUUCUUCUCUGGCAAACUUUAUGUUCCUAUUCACAUGCUAAAGCUGCCAGCUGAAGAGCUGUUGUGGUCAGCUUUGACCUGCUCCUGCUUUCCAAAACUUUUUUGUCACUUUUACUUAUUGACAGUAACGUUCUGCUCCUGAUUUUCACGUUGCGAAUAUACAAACCUGCAAAUGUAUUUCGCUCCCUUCACGAACCUUUCCAUCUUUCCAUACCUUAACAUCCAGUAUUGAUGAAUACACUGUUCUGUAGAAGGAAAAAAAACAUAACCAUGAAACAUUAUUUCAUAAGACACAAUAUUUUAUAAUAAUUAUUUGCUUGUGGUUUAUUGUGUAGGUUCACUGUAGUCUGCUUCAUUAACUCUGUCUACAUAAAUGUAAAAGCUAGCAUUAAAUUGAAGGGUAAAAAAUUAAAUAAAUGUAAGAAGCAUUAAACACUAGAUAGCAGUCCUUGUUACUGGAUUGCUGAAUAUAAUAAAAAUGUAUGAAGAAUUUUUGUUAAUAAUGUUUAAUAUGUUCCUAUAUUUAUGCAAGCGGGGCUUCUUCUGAAUUUAUGAAAGCAGAAAUCUUUCUAUUUCUUUGAUGUUAGAAAUUUAAUGAAGAAGAUCCAGAUGAACGAAAUUUACAGAACAUUUCUGUUUAUUUAAUGAAGAAAACUAGGAUUAAAAUCUGACUACUUGAUUUACACAAAAGUUGAUUAAAAAAAAAAUAAAACCCAAAGAAAUUCCUGACACCCUGACUGAAUACUUGGUAGCACCACUGCUGGGGAUCUGUUUAUUUCACUUUUGCACAUCUGGAUGCUGAUGUAAAUUCUGCCCUGUUGGAUGGAGGCCAUUUUUAAGUCUUACCUCACAUUUUCAACCAGUCUGCAGUCUGAGCUUUGACUGGGUCAUGUGAACGUUGUUAGAAGACGUUUGUUUUAAACCGUUCCACUUCCCAUGACUUUAUGCUACAACCACCAUGCUUCACUGCUGGGCGACGAACAGGGUCAAGUCGUCACCAAAUGUAACCCUAGGUUAGCUGAGUCUCUGUGUCUUCAUCACGCCUUUUGGUUCUCUAAAAGACAGACCGCAUGUCCGGGGUACGGUGUGUCAUCAUCUGAGAUCUCUCCAGUUCCUUCACGCUUCUUCGUUGCUUCUCUAAUUCUUUACUCAUCAGAUCCCUGAAUUGGUGCACGGCUGCUUGCGGGUGUUCCGAAUUCUAUUAAAAGACAAAGCUUAUGUUUUUGUUCUUGUUGUUGUUGCUAAGCUUUUGUAGUGACACCAUGUGAUUGAAUCACAUGACACAGAUGGUAUUUUGGCCCCAAGGCAAAACCCAGAGAGUAAAGUAAGAUAAAAGUCUUGCUAACUUUAUCUCACUAGUAAUAUUUGAAAAAUAAAAUAUUUACCUUUGUGUGUCAUGAAAUUCUGUGUAUGGUGUAUUCAUGAAAUACAGGUUAUAAGAGUGAUGAAAUGAUGAUCUACUUUCAUUUAAAAGUGGUUCUUUUUUUUUCCGGCUUACUUUUAAAAUGGUUGAAAUGCGCGUCAGUGUCUUUGACGUCUUCUGGGAUUUUUCCAUAUGCUGUAUAUGAGGAGAAAAUUAGCAUUUCAGGAGCCUUGUGUACUUUUGUACAAGUAAAGAAAUGACACCGUGUUCUUUUACAUAAUUCAUUAGACCUUUUUUUUGACUCCUGUUAUUCAGGUUCAUGCUAAACUUUUUGAUGUAAAUAAAUUCCGUUGCCACAGA
Long non-coding RNA from Tachysurus vachellii, 1995 nucleotides. RefSeq lists it as uncharacterized. NCBI's taxonomy places the organism in Eukaryota, Metazoa, Chordata, Actinopteri, Siluriformes, Bagridae. The transcript is spliced from 2 exons. The record is from RefSeq and is a predicted model, not a curated record.